CAAUAGCGUAUAUUAAAGUUGUUGCAGUUAAAAAGCUCGUAGUUGGAUUUGUGGCGUACGGUGGGUUCCGGGCACUUGUUGUCUGAGUAACUUGCUGUUGCCAUCCUUGGGUGGAACCUGUGUGGCAUUAGGUUGUCGUGCAGGGGAUGCCCAUCAUUUACUGUGAAAAAAUUAGAGUGUUCAAAGCAGGCUUAUGCCGUUGAAUAUAUUAGCAUGGAAUAAUGAGAUAGGGCUUUUUUGCUAUUUUGUUGGUUUGCGCAAAGAGGUAAUGAUUAAUAGGGACAGUUGGGGGUAUUCGUAUUCCAUUGUCAGAGGUGAAAUUCUUGGAUUUUUGGAAGACGAACUACUGCGAAAGCAUUUACCAAGGAUGUUUUCAUUAA
This 380-nucleotide ribosomal RNA is filed under the name uncultured eukaryote. Its description in RNAcentral is "partial 18S ribosomal RNA". It matches the Rfam family "Eukaryotic small subunit ribosomal RNA", at positions 592 to 976 of the family's 1831-position model. The record is from RNAcentral.